RNAcentral lists this ribosomal RNA (227 nucleotides) under uncultured eukaryote. RNAcentral describes it as "partial small subunit ribosomal RNA". It matches the Rfam family "Eukaryotic small subunit ribosomal RNA", at positions 1208 to 1456 of the family's 1831-position model. The record is from RNAcentral.
GGAAAUCUCACCAGGCCCGGACACUGGAAGGAUUGACAGAUUGAGAGCUCUUUCUCGAUUCGGUGGGCGGUGGUGCAUGGCCGUUCUUAGUUGGUGGAGUGAUUUGUCUGGUUAAUUCCGAUAACGAACGAGACUCUGUCCUGCUAAAUAGUGUCAGCCUCUCUUUUGGGCUGACAAUUCUUCUUAGAGGGACUGGCGGCACCUAGCCGCACGAAAUAGAGCAAUAA